RNAcentral lists this long non-coding RNA (200 nucleotides) under Gossypium barbadense (sea-island cotton). Its description in RNAcentral is "long non-coding RNA (GBAR_LNC010441)". Lineage: Eukaryota; Viridiplantae; Streptophyta; Magnoliopsida; Malvales; Malvaceae. The record is from RNAcentral.
GGUGGUGAGUCCAUCAGACUGCUUAAGUACCAAGCAUACCGCCAUUGCCACACCUUAACGUCAUGGAUAUUUCUAGGAAACUGAUUUGAUUAAGUCAUUUUUAGGAAAAGUGAUUAAUUUUGGAAAAUGCUUUCAUUGCAGAAGCUUUGCUUGUUGUUGUGUUAUUUUGAAAUCAAUUAUUGUUUUUGAAAACGCGCCCU